RNAcentral lists this ribosomal RNA (253 nucleotides) under uncultured bacterium. Its description in RNAcentral is "partial 16S ribosomal RNA". It matches the Rfam family "Bacterial small subunit ribosomal RNA", at positions 524 to 776 of the family's 1533-position model. The record is from RNAcentral.
GACAGAGGGUGCAAACGUUGCUCGGAAUUACUGGGCGUAAAGCGCACGUAGGCGGCUUUCUAAGUCGGGGGUGAAAUCCUGGAGCUCAACUCCAGAACUGCCUUCGAUACUGGAGAGCUCGAGUCCGGGAGAGGUGAGUGGAACUGCGAGUGUAGAGGUGAAAUUCGUAGAUAUUCGCAAGAACACCAGCGGCGAAGGCGGCUCACUGGCCCGGUACUGACGCUGAGGUGCGAAAGCGUGGGGAGCAAACAGG